This 305-nucleotide ribosomal RNA is filed under the name uncultured bacterium. RNAcentral's name for it is "bacterial SSU rRNA". It matches the Rfam family "Bacterial small subunit ribosomal RNA", at positions 337 to 634 of the family's 1533-position model. The record is from RNAcentral.
CCCUACGGGGGGCAGCAGUAGGGAAUAUUGCUCAAUGGGGGAAACCCUGAAGCAGCAACGCCGCGUGGAGGAUGAAGGUCUUCGGAUCGUAAAACCCUGUUGUUAGGGAAGAAAGUGCGUGAGAGUAACUGUUCACGUUUCGACGGUAUCUAACCAGAAAGCCACGGCUAACUACGUGCCAGCAGCCGCGGUAAUACGUAGGUGGCAAGCGUUAUCCGGAUUUAUUGGGCGUAAAGGGAACGCAGGCGGUCUUUUAAGUCUGAUGUGAAAGCCUUCGGCUUAACCGGAGUAGUGCAUUGGAAACU